CCCUUAGAUGUUCUGGGCUGCACGCGUGCUACACUGAUUACUUCAACAAGUGUUUUAACUGGAGAGUUUGCGUAAUCCUGAAAUGUUAUCGUGAUGGGAGUAGAGUAUUGUAUUUGUUAAUCUUUAACGAGGAAUUCCUAGUAAGUGUAGGUUUAUAAGUUGUUCUGAUUACGUCCCUGCCCUUUGUACACACCGCCCGUCGCUACUACCGAUUGAAUGGUUUAGUGAGAUCUUCGGAUUGGCGCCACUGCGGCUCAGCAAUGGGCUCGGUGGAUGCCGAAAAGUUGAUCAAACUUGAUCAUUUAGAGGAAGUAAAAGUCGUAACA
This 326-nucleotide ribosomal RNA is filed under the name uncultured eukaryote. RNAcentral's name for it is "partial 18S ribosomal RNA". It matches the Rfam family "Eukaryotic small subunit ribosomal RNA", at positions 1470 to 1796 of the family's 1831-position model. The record is from RNAcentral.